UCAGCCUGCUUGUCAAAAGGCUUGUUUUAAGUUUUACAGUGCUUAAAAGGUUAAAAAGCAACUACUUAACAUGAAGCAGUGAACAACUUAACAGUAAAGAGCUGAUGAAACCCUGAGAAUUGGUGCAAGUUAUGACCCUAAAGAGCAAUUGAAAUUAUCAGAGGUUAGUUGGUGAGCUGAGACCAAAAACUAAAGGAAGGACACUUCAGCUUCAAGCUUUUUUGAAGUUUACUUUUUUAAAUCUGAAAAUGAACCACCUGCCCUGUCGUACCUCAAACCGAACACGUACGUGCAGAGAAGCAAUGGGCAAAAGCUGCUGCUGCUGGAGACAUUUGAGGACAAGAGAAGAGUAUUGUCAAGCCCCCUCUGAGGGGAAGCAGGCUACAGUUCCCUUAGAGGGCAUUUCCUCACCAGGAGGACCACUGCUGAAAAGUUCCUCCAACUUAUCUCCCUCCAGUCUGCUUGUUACACCAACCAUUGUUUCUGAUAAACAAGGUGCUGGCCUUCCACCCAGAACUCUGGCCACAGACAAUUGCUACCAGGCAGUGGAUGAGCAGGAGGCAGCAGCACAGUCAUUAAACAAUUUGCAUCUAUAGGAAGAGAAUGUCUGACCAAAUACUAGUGGUACUAUCAGCCAAAUCAUUGAUGCUAAUGUAGGGGGGGAAAAAAAGGAAGAGAAGAAAGGGGAGAGAACUCUGGUCUUUGCUAAAUAAACUGAACUGAAACAAUUUUGUUGAAUACAGGUCAAGUCUUACAGUGAGAUGUAAAUCCUUCGAAACACUUCACCUGAAACCUCAGCUUGUACAAGGAGUCCAUGCAGUGAGCUUCUACUGAUAACCUAAUUCAUUUUCUAUGGUGCUGGCUCAACCUCCACAAAACCUGAUCAUCCAGUUUCAGCCUAGUACUAGGAAAACAAUGACCUCUGUUCAUACAAUGUUCUGUCAAAUGGAAUCCCCCAUUACCCUCAGUGUUUGUACUAUGAAAUAAGUUGACAAUUAGGAAUGGAAAAAUGAUUUGAUGUGGAAAAAUUUGGCCCAUAAACUUAAGACUUGCUUAUGCUUUUAGAGGUAAUAAAUUGUAAAUGUAUGGGGAGUUCAUGACCGCCAUUGCUACACAGUUCUGAAUGGUGCUCUAAGUUUAAAUUAAUUGACCCCACCAAGAUUCAGGUAUUUCUUAGAUGAAGUUAAUGCCCUGAUAGCUACCCAAAGACAUCAAGAACAGAGAAUGCUCCCUCAGAUUGUUGUGUGGUUCUUUCUCUCCUUUGAAGAUUCAGUGAAGAAGUUUGCAACAAACUACAAUAUGACAAGAUCUUAGACACUAUUUAGCA
Monodelphis domestica (gray short-tailed opossum) is the source of this 1327-nucleotide non-coding RNA. NCBI's taxonomy places the organism in Eukaryota, Metazoa, Chordata, Mammalia, Didelphimorphia, Didelphidae. The record is from RefSeq and is a predicted model, not a curated record.